AGAUAGGAAAUACGAAGAAGAAGAGAAGAUAAAGAAGACUAUAGAAAGAAGAAUUUGGGAAAAGAGUAUUGGCAAUUCAAUAACUGUUUGUCCCAAUUUCGGUUAGGCUAUUUAUAGAUUUUGCUGACUUAGCCGAGUUGGUGAUGAACUGGACUAUUUGAUGUAUUAAUCUCCACUGUUGAUUCCUUACGAUCUCUACCGUUUAUUUAAACUAAUUCCCAAUUUUUCCUUUUCAUGAUUAUUCAAUUGCCACAUGCGGACAUAACAACUUUGAUUCAUUACACAAUUAGUAGUUCUGUAAUAAUUCUUGUUGAGUUAAGAAAUAGAAAUAUCUUCUCAUUGAGUGCUUAUGACCAUACAAUUUCUUCUCCCAUUAUUUAAAAUUAACAUGGUAUUAGAGUAAUUAGGGAAGAUCUAGGAUUUUUUCUCAAAGAUUUUCAAAGAUAAAUUGAGAGAUUUUGCUGGAUUUGUGUUCGUAUAGUGAUCAAGGACAAAUCGUUGGAUGGAUCGAAUAACAGAGCAUGUAAAGAAUCUUAGAAUAGUGGCUCAUUAACGAUAAAUCAUAAUCAUCUUCUCUAUCUGAGCUCAUCAUAUGUACCAGGAUCAUUAUCUGUUAGAAUUCAACUAACACGAAGGGAGAAUUACACGCAAUAGAGCUGAGCUAUGGAGAUAGAGCUGCUUGGAAGAAAUAAAUUGGGAUUUUUGGAUGGCUCUGUUCUAAGGAAUGAUUAUGAAGGAGAUUUGGAUUAAAUUUUAUAUCACUGCGAUGUGAUUGUUACCUCUUGGCUCACAUGCAAUGACCUCUUCUCUGGGAAGUUCAAGGCAAUUGGUGAUAUAGAGGAAGGCUUAUAUGUACUGAAUUGUCAAGCAAAACAAGAAGAAUGAAUAUGAACAAUGUCUACUAUUAGGGAAAAUGGUGAUCCAACACUUUGGUACAUAAGAUUAGUCCAUGUCCCUAUUGGAGUUCUUCGAACAAUAAAAGAUUUCAAAAAAUAUAGUAGUUUUACUGUAGAUCAGUGCACUUGUCCUUAAGAUAGACAAACCAGAGUUCUAUUUUCCAUCAGUGCUACUAAGACAGAUGGUGUGUUUGAUUUAGUUCAUAUGGAUGUUUGAGGCCUUCACAAGGUAGCUACUCAUAAUUACAUGGGAUAUUUUCUUACCUUAGUUGAUGAAAAAUCUAGAUAGACAUAAAAGUUUUUGAUUGCCUUGGAGUUUGAUGUAAUUGUUGUUCUCAAACAAUUUCUGUUAAUGAUAAAGAAUCAGUUUGGGAAAUAUGUUAAAGUGUUCAGGUCUGAUAAUGGAGGAGAAUUUUUUAUGCU
This is a long non-coding RNA of Capsicum annuum, 1319 nucleotides long. RefSeq lists it as uncharacterized. The record is from RefSeq and is a predicted model, not a curated record. The transcript has 2 exons. Lineage: Eukaryota; Viridiplantae; Streptophyta; Magnoliopsida; Solanales; Solanaceae.